Molecule: long non-coding RNA, 2555 nt
Filed under: Homo sapiens (human)
Lineage: Eukaryota; Metazoa; Chordata; Mammalia; Primates; Hominidae
Description: HSALNT0334498
Source: RNAcentral
CAAGUGGACAGACUUGUUUGGCCAAUGCCCCUAGUUCUCACUUUUCUUUCUCCAAAGAAAAAAAUCAGAAAAGCAAAACCAGAGCAAACCAAACAUAGGUUAGAGCUAAUGAGAAGUACAGGAUGUCUGGUUUCAACUUUUAAAAGAUGACCACUAAAUUAGAUUGUAACUUCAGAGAGGAAGGAAAAUUAAGACUAUCGAUGAAUUCUUUGUCUUUAGCAGUGCCAAGAAAGCAGAGAAAAAAAGAAUCCGCAGAAGAGAAGAGACCUAGAGAAGUUGCUUAGUCCUCCCCCGCGGGAGGGCUGUACCUCAAAAAUGCCAUAUUGGAGGGACGUCCAGUUCUCCUAGGUUUCCAGGGAAACUCUGUCCAAGUUGUGGAUAUGUCAUUGGUUUGUUACCCUCUUUAUUCACUGGUCUUCUCUGUCUCAUACCACAAUGGCAAACCCAGAGAGAUGGACCGACCUAGUUGGCCUGGUGAUCAGGUUGCUACUAAUGAAGGUGAGUUGCUCUGCUUUCUAGCCUGAGCUUUCUAUUUUAGGAAUUUAAAGGGUAAGAGAUUGAAGACAAAGGUGUUCACAGUGGCUGCUACUGCAAUUCAAAAUGGUCUAGCAUUGUACAGAUUGUCGUCGGGCCUCAGGGAAAUUGCUCAGCCCUCCACAGCUCCCAUGGCCUAUCUCAGCACAAUGAGGGGGUCCACAUUUCCAAGUUCAAGACCUUUCAUAACUACGUCACCUUCUAUUUAUCAGAGUCUUCCUCUCAGGACCACUAAACUAUUUUUGGAUCUGAAGCACAGUAUACAAAACAUAGCUACAUAUCAACAAUUACACGAUUAUUCCAGACCCAUCGCCCUUGGUUUUGCCUCAUCUGACCUGGAAUAUUAAGGGAGGGAAAACCACAUCUAUUUUUAGUUUCUUCCGGAAUUCCUCAAAUUGUUCACUUUUCCAUUUUGUUGAAAGCCAUUAAGAUCUAGACUUUGUGUUUUACCCAGCAGUGUGUGCACAUACUUACGGCACAUCUUUGUCUGGGACUCUUCAUUUGAACCUUCUGGGCUCUCACUAAAUAUGGGCAAUCUUAUGAGUGACCUCUUGCCCCUGAGUCACCCGAAUCCACUAAUGUCUCUCUCUCUCUCUCAAAAACAAACAUACACACACAUGCAUGCACACUCCUAUGCCACAUACACACUCACACUUCUAUACAUAAAAUUAGAGAGCAGCCAGCACACAUAAUUCUGGACCAUGGAGAUAUCUAGCAGAGUUGACACUUGGACCAGAUCUUUUAUUGACUUUCCCCUCCAUUAUUUUCAGCAAUAAUCCUUAUUUGCUUGACUAAUUCUUUUGAUUUAAAGCAAUUGACUGAAAAAGAAAACAUUUUACUUUAUGCUACUACUAAAAUUCAGUGAAAUGUUUAAGUGUGAACUCAAAUUUGUAUGUGCCAAAUAAUAAUAGUAUGCCUUGAAGUUUGCACUCUUCACUGUUUUAAAUUUUAAACAAAAAUAAAAACUCUAUAAGGUCCCAUAUAAUGACAGAAUUGAAGCUACAUAUGUUCAGUUUCUUUACAAACACCAUGCUAACAUUGUGUGUUUUUAAUCUACUGUUCAAAUGCAGGGAUGUGUCAUUCUGCAGAGGCUGGAGAGACUUCAGGCAAACUCAACAGUCCCAAACCCUUAGAAACUUACUCUUGGAACAAACAUAUGUAGCUGAGUUCCUCUGUGUCAGGAGCUGCUAUAUAAAUGAGAGUUUUCUGAAUUACCUUCUCUGUAGAACACUAUUUAUUAAAAGAUCUGCCUGCCAAACCUGCCUUCCUCGAAAUAUCCCUUCAUGUGAAAGCAUUAUGAGAAAGGGUAAAUCUAAUUGUAUACUAUAAUAGUGGCAGUAGGUGAGUUUACGUCACACACGCUAGGAAACUGCUUUAAUCUUUCGACAUCUCUCUCUUUCCAAAUCAUGCACGCAUUCAUUCCAUCAUCAAACAUUUAUUGAAAAUCUACACACCAGACACUGUUCUAGGCCCUGGGGAUAAGAAGUAAUGAAAACAACUGUCCCCUAGGAGUCUGCACUCUAGUUGAGGGAGGUGCUGGCUAGCCUCUGUUUACCCUCCAGGUCCAUCUUUGCCCUUUUCUGUGCCCCAGGAGGCUAGCCCCGCACUCUACUGUGCCUUGUCCUCUGGGAGGGUGAUGGAAGGUAGGGAGAGUGGGAGAUCCCAGCGGGAGGUUGUAGUAUGGAAGCACUGGAGAGCUAGGCAUUUUCUCCCCGCCAACUCCUUCCAGGCUGCAGUUUUGGCAGUGGUUGUGUUCCUGCCCUCUAGCCACAGAUCCUGGGGGAUCCCCCUCUCCCAUAGCCACAGAUCUUGGCAGGUUCCUCUGACACCUCUCUUACCUCCCCACCCUUCUUGACCCUUUUUACUUAAUGAGAGGCAACCCAUGGCUGCUCAAUGCUGUCGGUUCUAUGUUGACUUAACUGUUCUUACCUCUUCUGUUACCCUUUGAGAAUGUCACUUCUUUUCUGCCAGGACCUUGACUGAUACAGAAAUACAGAAAAUAAACAAACAAAUGAGUUAUA